This 316-nucleotide unclassified non-coding RNA is filed under the name uncultured Thelephoraceae. RNAcentral's name for it is "sequence contains ITS2". The record is from RNAcentral. Lineage: Eukaryota; Fungi; Basidiomycota; Agaricomycetes; Thelephorales; Thelephoraceae.
AACGCACCUUGCGCCCCUUGGCUAUUCCGAGGGGCAUGCCUGUUUGAGUAUCAUGAACAUCUCAACUCUCACGCUUUGCCGUGAUGAGCUUGGACUUUUGGGGGUUUUGCUGGCCCUAUGGUCAGCUCCUCUAAAACGGAUCAGCUUGCCAGUGUUUGGUGGCGUCACGGGUGUGAUAACUAUCUACGCUUGCGAUUGUCUGCCAAGUAACCUUCGGUGACGGAGGUUCGCUGGAGCUUAUAAACGUCUCUCCUCAGCGAAGACAGCUUUUUGAACGUUCGAUCUCAAAUCAGGUAGGACUACCCGCUGAACUUAA